Long non-coding RNA from Hyla sarda, 2158 nucleotides. RefSeq lists it as uncharacterized. NCBI's taxonomy places the organism in Eukaryota, Metazoa, Chordata, Amphibia, Anura, Hylidae. The transcript is spliced from 3 exons. The record is from RefSeq and is a predicted model, not a curated record.
CUCUAUAUGAGGUCUAAUUGGUUGCUAUGGGUGACGACUCCUAUAUAUAAGGUCUGAUAACUCUCCCUAUGUCUGAAAAUAUCAGUAAAGUGUGAAUGGUGGCGUAAGAGUAGACCCCAGGGGCCACAAAUCAACCUAAGAACAGCCUGGACAACCAGCUCCCUGUUUUUUAGCCAUUUGCUGCUCCAGCACUGUGUGUGAACAGAGACUGAGACUUCUGCACAGUCACCGGAGAGAACCGUGAGAACUGCGAACAUUGCACCGUCUAUCCGGACCCCUGCGCCAUAUUCUUCCUAUCAGGUGACAUGUACAUAUGGGGGAGACAUUUUCCUGUGCACAGCACACUUCCUGUCUGCCUGACAUGGCUGAUAACCGAGAACAAUAGUGAUGAUCAGACCAACAUGGCGCCAUGUGACGAUGGAAAUUGCUGCAGUUUUUGGUAAUGAUGCGUUAUCAGGUCUCAGGGUCUACACAGGGUUUUCCGUAUCUGCGCCAUCAAUCUGAAUGGGCCCCCAAUGCUUAGAGCCAAAGAUGGCGGAUUCCUUCCAUGUGGGGAGAAGAUAUGUGGCCUCCAUGGGCUGCAGAGUUUACGUGUUUGAUGAAGUCCGGCGCUUUCCUGACAUCUGUUCACACAUGGCGGAUACACUGCAGAGGAUGAGAAUGCGCUGACAUAGUGAGGAGACGUCUGGGCGUCACAUUCUGCAGAGAGAAGUUUUAGCUGGACCAGGCGUAACAGGAGGGGAUUAUUGUCACUCAUGUCUAUACGAAAAUGUCCUUUUAUCUAUAAUAAAUAUCAUUAAAUGAAGUUAUUGUUUGAUGUUAUCUGUCGGAAGUCAUGUGUGAUGUACAUGGAAUACAUACAUAAUACAUUCAGUAUAUCACUUUUUUAUAUCCUAUUUUGUAUAUCUUACUCUAUUGAUUAUUGUUUUUUUCAUUAUUAUGAUUAUUUUAUUUAUUAUAUUUUAUUCAUUAUUUAUUUUUUAUCACCCAUUUUGCAUGUAUUUAUUUUAUUUAUCUUUAUUUAAUUUUUAUGAUAUUUUCUAUAGAUUUUUUUGUUUUUUAUUAAAUUUUUUGUGGUAUAGAUUACUUUUGGUUUUUGCUGUUGCUAACAGCUACGGAAUGAGUCUUAUCUGGACGCAGCUCCAGUUGUCCAACUACAGUCCCCUCUUUAGCCCAGUAUUAGGGCAUCUGUGGUGUAAUAGAGAGGUGGUGACCUCAGACUAUGGCUACCGCUGGAUACCGUGCUCCAGCAGAUCGGAGUGGAGACACUUCAUUGUGCCUACUACUCGGACCUGCAGCUACACGUCUCAAUACUUUUGUGGGAUCUGUAUGAAUACUUUGAAAUCAGUAACCAUUCCACUCUUUGUUUGUUUUAUUUUUAGUUUAUUUAUUAUUUUUCUUUCUUUUCUUUAGUAUUUAUUAUUUUUCUUUCUAUUCUUUUAUUCAGUAUUUAUAAUUUUUUCCUUUUAUUUUUAUUUUUCUCUUUAAAUUUCUUUCUUUUGCUCAGUUUACAUUAAUACGCUUAUUUACUACCUUUUUUAUCACAUGAUACAUUGCCAUGGUGACCGGGACGCUAGACGAACUGACAGUGUGGAAACGAGGCCUGGAAUACUGCGCGCGUGCGUAAUAGGGCACGCAGGUUCUGAGAAUGAGAGCGAGGCUUGGAACGCCAUGAGCAUGCGCAGUAGGGCCGAUACGCUGCGUCCACACACGGUCACCAUGACUACAUGUUAUAUACAUCCUCUGACUUCCGUUACAGGAUCUGGGCGCACAUGCGCAGUUACAUUUUACCCACGCUUACAUUCUCCAUCAUUGCGGUGAGUGAUUUUCCCCAUACCUGUUGCUGCAAAUAUUAGUUUUUAAUGAUUUUAUUUAUACUGCACAUCUGUUCUGAGUAGGUGAUCAGAACCUUAUUAGGGAUUUUAUAUGAUUUUGGGACACACAUUUGUAUUUAUGUACUGUAUCUUAUAUAGAUGUGACACAUGUUUUGCACUUGUUUAUGAGAUGCACUUUUUGAAUUUUUUACACCAUGUAUUCAUUAUAUAUAUAUUUUUUCACUAAUUGAGAUUGUAAUUGUAUGGCCCAUAAAAUGGGACCUUUUGUUCACUUGUGUUAUGCUUGAGAAAGACCAGGAGAGCUGGUUGAAAUGUCGCUGUAA